Molecule: long non-coding RNA, 1243 nt
Filed under: Anas platyrhynchos platyrhynchos (common mallard)
Lineage: Eukaryota; Metazoa; Chordata; Aves; Anseriformes; Anatidae
Description: lncRNA (ENSAPLG00000019469.1)
Source: RNAcentral
GUUUACUUAAUGAACACAUGUUGAAAGUUAUUAUUCUGCCACAUACUCUAAAUAAAACUUUGGACCACUGUUGAGUUGGUAAAGAAUUAAAUGACUUCAGUACAAUACUGACAGGAACCACCUGCAAUAGGGGUCCACAUACUUCACACUUUGGAUUCCUUUUUCUCCCAUCUGUUGGAAGGUCGCUGUAGUUCAGUCAUGCAAACUGUCUCUUUCUUUCUCCCAUGGAAAGCAGUGACGAAAAACAAUAGCUGUGUUAUGACACUACCUUGGGCACAAUGGGUUUAGAAGGAAAGGGUGUGAAACCAGGGUGCAAGUAUGGUUAAAACAAUUACUCUCCCACCAGCAUGGAGGAACACAUUAAGUUGAGGACUGGCACACACCGUUCCACAGACUUGAGAGCACGAUGGAGGAGAAUGACUGGUGAAGAUGAAGUAAUGUGCUGCUGCCUGCUGCAGAUGCCUCAUGCACGCAUCUGGAGCUACUUCCAGAUGGAUUGCUGAAGAUUAAAGGGUUAACAAAUUAGGACUAAAACUAACUUUUCUGUUUCUAAAUCAGAUCUGUGCAGACAUGCCACAUGCACUUGUUCUCAUCAAGGAUUAACUGCAUGACAAGCUUGAACUUUUAACACCAAACUCUUUUUGAGUUACUGGAGAGUAAAAAAAGGUCACAACACUUCCAUAAAACUGAAACAUGUAAAUUUUUCAUAACAUCAUCAUUCAAAAAUGACUCCUCUUAUUUUCUUCGACCUUUCCAAAAUAAUCUACCAUUGAUCUAAGACUAAUAAUGAGAAAUAACAGCUCAACUGUGCAUUUCCUCCUCUCUGAAAGUUUAAAAGGGUGAAAGUAGGCCUUGUAAUACAGUAGUUACCUUCAGUUGGGAGCUGCUACCCUAACUAUAGCGCAAUACCAUCUAAUUUGGAUUCAGAGGCAACAGACAUUACCCAAGAACAAAAUUCUAUACUUCAGAAAAAGGAAAACCUAGCUACCUGCUUUUCUAGCUCCUUUCAAAGGCUGCAUGUUUUAAUGCUUGCAGAUGCUUUGCUGUUGUCAAAUAAGUGACAAUGAUGAGCAAGAUGUAAGGGGUAAAAAAAAGGAGUAUGUGUUUUGCUGCAUCACUGUCCUUCUCCAUUACAAGUAGAAGAUUGUUAUAAAAAGAUGUAUCUACUAUAAAUUAAUAAUUUGCCAUUUGUCUAAUCUGCUAUGAUGCUUUUUCAGGUAUGAUGCUAAUUGUUAAACAGUAA